CCAGCAGCCGCGGUAAUUCCGGCUCCAAUAGCGUAUAUUAAAGUUGUUGCGGUUAAAAAGCUCGUAGUUGGAUUUCUGCUGAGAACGACCGGUCCGCCCUCUGGGUGUGUAUCUGGCUCUUUCUUGGCAUCUUCUUGGUGAACGUUGCUGCACUUGACUGUGUGGAGCGCUACCCAGGACUUUUACUUUGAGGAAAUUAGAGUGUUUCAAGCAGGCAUACGCCUUGAAUACAUUAGCAUGGAAUAAUAGAAUAGGACUCGGGUUCUAUUUUGUUGGUUUGAGGACCAGAGUAAUGAUUAAUAGGGAUAGUUGGGGGCAUUAGUAUUCAGUAGUCAGAGGUGAAAUUCUUGGAUUUACUGAAGACUAACUAGUGCGAAAGCAUUUGCCAAGGAUGUUUUCAUUAAUCAAGAACGAAAGU
Molecule: ribosomal RNA, 418 nt
Filed under: uncultured eukaryote
Lineage: Eukaryota
Description: SSU rRNA
Rfam family: Eukaryotic small subunit ribosomal RNA
Source: RNAcentral